RNAcentral lists this long non-coding RNA (530 nucleotides) under Arabidopsis lyrata. RNAcentral's name for it is "long non-coding RNA (ALYR_LNC002798)". The record is from RNAcentral. Lineage: Eukaryota; Viridiplantae; Streptophyta; Magnoliopsida; Brassicales; Brassicaceae.
GAGAGAUUCGUGAGCUAGGAAGCACAGAAGCGUCACUCAACGUCCGAUUCUCGCUCCGGAAUCGGAAACGGGAGCGGAAGCGUUUGGAAGCGUGAUGGAAUCGCGGUUCCGAAAAAUUAGUUAGUGGAAGCGGCUGGGGAGCGAUCGAUUCGUAUUUGGAAGCGUAGUGAUGUAUAAACGGAAGCGCAAUAAUUUUCUUUUGAUGCUUAUAUUGCCUCCUGGUUUUCUAUUGGUGUGUGGAUAUGGUUUCUUGUCUCUUUUGAAUCAUAUGUUCGAAAUUCUCUCAAGCUUCAGAGUAAAAUAUCAAAUGGCCAUGAAUCAUCUCGUUUCAACUAUUCAAGUUCCGGUGGUUUUGCUUUCAGAUCUAAUCGGCGAUUUCAUCGGGAGAGGAAGCUUAACUGGGCUUUUAAUCUUUCUUUCAAUUUGGGCUUUGAACCUCUUUGCCCAAUUACUUUGACUUUUGCCGACUAAAUCAACUCUUUAAUUAUUUGUAUACUAUAUCAUUAAUCAUAGUUAAUCAUAUGUGUGUG